AGUAUUGUCUUCCACCUCUUCACUCUGAGUCUGUGUUUGUCCUUGUGGCUGAGGUGUGUUUCCUGGAGGCAACAAACUGUUGGAUCUUGUUCUUUAAUCCAUUUUACCACUCUGUGUCUCUUUAUCGGAGAAUUCAAUCCAUUUACAUUGAGGGACUUCCAGGAAUAUGUUGAAUUAAAGUGGCAAGAGUGGGCAUCCUUGUCUUGUUCCUUAUCUUAGAAGACAUUCUUCCAGCUUUUCAUCAUUGAGUAUGAUAUCAGCUGUGGGCUUGUCAUAUACGGCCUUUAUAUUGUAUUGAGGGUAAAUCUGAUUCCUGUAACUCCAUCUUGGCUAGAAGUAGAUGGUUACAGCUUCACUCUUAACGUUAUAGCACCUGCAACCUUCUUCAAAGGAAUUCUCUUCAGUUACUAGAGCCACUUCUCAUGGAGAGCUGAAGAUGUCUGAAGUUUACAAAUCCUUGGAGUAGCCAGUAGCCAGCCACUGGUUCAGGAGUAUGAAAGUCUAAUUCCUUUGCCUCCAGCAUUCAGAAGCGAAGCAGAGGAAUGGACCUGGGCAUCUCUCCAUUCAAUAUAGAGAUUUUGUCUUAACCUCUGUGGAAUAAUGGUCUCUCAAAGAUGUCCACAUCCUAAUCCCAGAAGUCUUCGAAUACGUUAUGUUACAUGGCAGAGGAGAAUUAAGGUGGCAGAGGGGAAUAAAGUUUGAGAUGGAAUUAAGGUUGAUAAUCGGCUGACUUUAAAUGGGGAGAUUAUCCUGGAUUGUAUAGUUGGAUUUAAAUAUGGAGGAGGAAGGCAGCAGACUCAGUGUCAAAAUGAUGCAACAUGAGAAAGACUUAACUGGCCAUUACUGGCUUUGAAGAUGGAAAGGGGCCAUGAGCCAAGAAAUGCAGGCAGCCUCUAGAAGCCGGAAAAGACAAGAAAACAGAUUCUCGUCUAGAACCUCCAGAAGGAGUUCAACCCUGCUGAGACCCUGACUUUAACCCAGUGAGGCCCAUUUUGGACUACUGAUCUCCAGAACUUGUGGAACUUGACCGUUCACCCUCAGUCCUGCCUGGUAUUCUCAAGUCCAGAACAUCCUGGGACAAUCUCUCCCAGCACGAAUCAACAAGUCCUGCCUAUUGUCUGCCAACAUUGCAGAAGGGGCCCGUCUCCAGGUCUCCGGGUUGCGGAAUGGAUCUAGUGAGCAAACUGCUUUUUAAGCAGAUUUUCAACCAAUCCUCCCAUUUCAAGACUCCCUCCCAACUCCUCAAGUCUAUAUAGAGGCACCUUGUGCCUUCAAUUCCUGAAGUUUUAUAGGAUUCCGCAGCAGAGAUAGACUUGCUUUGAUUAUUGCAAGUACAUUUCCUCUUUCCAUGCUCUGCUAAAUCAGACACCUCUCAUCCUCGUUCCUUCUUCCAAAAUUUACAGACAUCUCUUGUCUGCUUCCUCUCAUUCUUUUUGAGCCUUAAGAUUUCAUGCUGUUUUGGUUCUUUAUUGUCAUUUUAGUGGGACUUUAAGAAAUAAUGGAAAUAAAUACUC
This 1514-nucleotide long non-coding RNA is filed under the name Equus caballus (horse). RNAcentral's name for it is "lncRNA (ENSECAG00000049807.1)". The record is from RNAcentral. Lineage: Eukaryota; Metazoa; Chordata; Mammalia; Perissodactyla; Equidae.